GACUCUCGGCAACGGAUAUCUCGGCUCACGCAUCGAUGAAGAACGUAGCAAAAUGCGAUACUUGGUGUGAAUUGCAGAAUCCCGUGAACCAUCGAGUUUUUGAACGCAAGUUGCGCCCAAAGCCAUUCGGUUGAGGGCACGCCUGCCUGGGUGUCACGCAUCGC
This 164-nucleotide ribosomal RNA is filed under the name Taraxacum sp. JS 8129. RNAcentral describes it as "5.8S ribosomal RNA". It matches the Rfam family "5.8S ribosomal RNA". From Rfam's summary of the family: 5.8S ribosomal RNA (5.8S rRNA) is a component of the large subunit of the eukaryotic ribosome. It is transcribed by RNA polymerase I as part of the 45S precursor that also contains 18S and 28S rRNA. Lineage: Eukaryota; Viridiplantae; Streptophyta; Magnoliopsida; Asterales; Asteraceae. The record is from RNAcentral.